AGUGAACGCUGGCGGUAUGCCUAACACAUGCAAGUCGAACGGCAGCACAGUAAGAGCUUGCUCUUACGGGUGGCGAGUGGCGGACGGGUGGGGAAUACAUCGGAAUCUACUUUUUCGUGGGGGAUAACGUAGGGAAACUUACGCUAAUACCGCAUACGACCUACGGGUGAAAGCAGGGGAUCUUCGGAGCUUGCGCGAGUGAAUGAGCCGAUUUCGGAUUAGCUAGUGGGCGGGGUAAAGGCCCACCAAGGCGACGAGCCGUAGCUGGUCUGAGAGGAUGAUCAGCCACACUGGAACUGAGACACGGUCCAGACUCCUAAGAGACGCAGCAGUGGGGAAUAUUGGACAACGGGCGCAAGCAUGAUACAGCCAUACCGCGUGGGUGACGAAGGCCUUCCGGUUGUAAAGACCUUCUGUUGGGAAAGAACAGCAGCCGGUUAAGACCCAGCUGUUCUGACGGUACCCAAAGAAUAAGCACCGGCUAACUUCGUG
This 492-nucleotide ribosomal RNA is filed under the name uncultured bacterium. RNAcentral describes it as "partial 16S ribosomal RNA". It matches the Rfam family "Bacterial small subunit ribosomal RNA", at positions 29 to 507 of the family's 1533-position model. The record is from RNAcentral.